GGGGGCGUUCUGGAUUCGACGCGGGUUACAAAACCUCCGGUGCAUGCCGAGAUGGUGACCAAUCUCGUUAAUCCAAAGUCGCAAAUUUAUAGUUGCCAACGACGACAACUACGCACUCGCUGCUUAAACCCCAGUAGGGUGCCGUCUGACUGGAGCCGUGCUUAUGCGUCCAGCGUCUCUCGAGACAAUCAGGCGUCAUAUCUCAUAAGAUCGUAGCAAAGCUUGUUCGGGGCGGCGUUAUUAAACACUUACCGAAAUCGUUUGUUGUGCGCCCUGACAGUCGGGUUGCAGCAGGCUAAAUUUAAAGACUGAUCUAAGCAUGUAGAGCCGUAGGCAGAGGACUGGCGGACGCGGGUUCAAUUCCCGCCGCCUCCACCA
This 378-nucleotide transfer-messenger RNA is filed under the name Porticoccaceae bacterium. It matches the Rfam family "transfer-messenger RNA". Rfam says of the family: Bacterial tmRNA, also known as 10Sa RNA or SsrA, is named for its dual tRNA and mRNA-like properties. Its role is to liberate the mRNA from a stalled ribosome. To accomplish this part of the tmRNA is used as a reading frame that ends in a translation stop signal. The record is from RNAcentral. Lineage: Bacteria; Pseudomonadati; Pseudomonadota; Gammaproteobacteria; Cellvibrionales; Porticoccaceae.